GAAUAUUGGUCAAUGGGCGAGAGCCUGAACCAGCCAAGUAGCGUGAAGGAUGACCGCCCUAUGGGUUGUAAACUUCUUUUAUAUGGGAAUAAAGGGUGCCACGUGUGGCAUUUUGUAUGUACCAUAUGAAUAAGGAUCGGCUAACUCCGUGCCAGCAGCCGCGGUAAUACGGAGGAUCCGAGCGUUAUCCGGAUUUAUUGGGUUUAAAGGGAGCGUAGGUGGACAUGUAAGUCAGUUGUGAAAGUUUGCGGCUCAACCGUAAAAUUGCAGUUGAAACUGCGUGUCUUGAGUACAGUAGAGGUGGGCGGAAUUCGUGGUGUAGCGGUGAAAUGCUUAGAUAUCACGAAGAACUCCGAUUGCGAAGGCAGCUCACUGGACUGCAACUGACACUGAUGCUCGAAAGUGUGGGUAUCAAACAGGAUUAGAUACCCUGGUAGUCCACACAGUAAACGAUGAAUACUCGCUGUUUGCGAUAUACAGUAAGCGGCCAAGCGAAAGCAUUAAGUAUUCCACCUGGGGAGUACGCCGGCAACGGUGAAACUCAAAGGAAUUGACGGGGGCCCGCACAAGCGGAGGAACAUGUGGUUUAAUUCGAUGAUACGCGAGGAACCUUACCCGGGCUUAAAUUGCAAAUGAAUUAUGGGGAAACCCAUACGCCGCAAGGCAUUUGUGAAGGUGCUGCAUGGUUGUCGUCAGCUCGUGCCGUGAGGUGUCGGCUUAAGUGCCAUAACGAGCGCAACCCUUAUCUUCAGUUACUAACAGGUCAUGCUGAGGACUCUGGAGAGACUGCCGUCGUAAGAUGUGAGGAAGGUGGGGAUGACGUCAAAUCAGCACGGCCCUUACGUCCGGGGCUACACACGUGUUACAAUGGGGGGUACAGAAGGCCGCUACCUGGUGACAGGAUGCCAAUCCCAAAAACCUCUCUCAGUUCGGAUCGAAGUCUGCAACCCGACUUCGUGAAGCUGGAUUCGCUAGUAAUCGCGCAUCAGCCAUGGCGCGGUGAAUACGUUCCCG
RNAcentral lists this ribosomal RNA (1014 nucleotides) under uncultured bacterium. RNAcentral's name for it is "bacterial SSU rRNA". It matches the Rfam family "Bacterial small subunit ribosomal RNA", at positions 359 to 1376 of the family's 1533-position model. The record is from RNAcentral.